UGGUGGGUAGUUUGACUGGGGCGGUCUCCUCCUAAAGAGUAACGGAGGAGCACGAAGGUUGGCUAAUCCUGGUCGGACAUCAGGAGGUUAGUGCAAUGGCAUAAGCCAGCUUGACUGCGAGCGUGACGGCGCGAGCAGGUGCGAAAGCAGGUCAUAGUGAUCCGGUGGUUCUGAAUGGAAGGGCCAUCGCUCAACGGAUAAAAGGUACUCCGGGGAUAACAGGCUGAUACCGCCCAAGAGUUCAUAUCGACGGCGGUGUUUGGCACCUCGAUGUCGGCUCAUCACAUCCUGGGGCUGAAGUAGGUCCCAAGGGUAUGGCUGUUCGCCAUUUAAAGUGGUACGCGAGCUGGGUUUAGAACGUCGUGAGACAGUUCGGUCCCUAUCUGCCGUGGGCGCUGGAGAAUUGAGGGGGGCUGCUCCUAGUACGAGAGGACCGGAGUGGACGCAUCACUGGUGUUCGGGUUGUCAUGCCAAUGGCAUUGCCCGGUAGCUACAUGCGGAAGAGAUAAGUGCUGAAAGCAUCUAAGCACGAAACUUGCCCC
RNAcentral lists this ribosomal RNA (542 nucleotides) under Pluralibacter gergoviae. RNAcentral describes it as "partial 23S ribosomal RNA". It matches the Rfam family "Bacterial large subunit ribosomal RNA", at positions 2259 to 2800 of the family's 2925-position model. Lineage: Bacteria; Pseudomonadati; Pseudomonadota; Gammaproteobacteria; Enterobacterales; Enterobacteriaceae. The record is from RNAcentral.